CACCUCCCCCUCUCCUCUCAAGUCGUCCCCUCACGGCUUUCUUUGAGAACCCAUCCAUCACACACUUUUCUUAGCUCUACAAUGGCGGCGACCACCACGUCCCUCUCCUCCUCGACCUUUGCCGGCAAGGCAGUGAAGAAUGUACCAUCGUCAACUCUCUUCGGCGAGGCUCGCGUCACCAUGCGCAAGACUGCAGCAAAGGCGAAGCAGGUUUCCUCCAACAGCCCAUGGUAUGGUGCUAACCGGGUGCUCUACCUCGGCCCACUCUCCGGUGAUCCUCCGAGCUACCUGACCGGUGAGUUCCCUGGUGACUAUGGGUGGGACACCGCUGGGCUUUCAGCUGACCCCGAGACCUUCGCCAAGAACCGGGAGCUAGAGGUGAUCCACUGUCGUUGGGCCAUGCUCGGAGCACUUGGUUGUGUCUUCCCGGAGUUGCUCGCCCGCAAUGGCGUGAAGUUCGGCGAGGCCGUUUGGUUCAAGGCCGGCUCCCAGAUCUUUAGUGAGGGUGGUCUCGAUUAUCUUGGCAACCCUAGCCUCGUCCAUGCACAAAGCAUCCUAGCUAUUUGGGCAUGCCAGGUCGUGCUCAUGGGUGCUGUUGAGGGGUACCGCAUUGCCGGCGGCCCACUUGGCGAGAUCGUCGACCCACUCUAUCCAGGCGGCAACUUCGACCCUCUUGGCCUAGCGGACGACCCUGAGGCAUUUGCCGAACUCAAGGUGAAAGAGAUCAAGAAUGGACGUCUGGCCAUGUUCUCAAUGUUUGGCUUCUUUGUGCAAGCUAUCGUCACAGGCAAGGGCCCUCUUGAGAACCUCGCUGACCACAUUGUUGACCCUGUCAACAACAAUGCUUGGUCAUUCGCCACCAACUUUGUCCCCGGCAAAUAAGGUGCUGGCUCCCAGAUCUUUAGUGAGGGUGGUCUCGACUACCUAGGCAACCCCAGCCUUGUGCACGCGCAAAGCAUCCUAGCUAUCUGGGCAUGCCAGGUUGUGCUCAUGGGUGCCGUCGAGGGGUACCGUGUUGCUGGCGGCCCACUCGGCGAGAUCGUCGACCCACUAUACCCAGGAGGGAGCUUCGACCCUCUUGGCCUAGCCGACGACCCCGAGGCAUUCGCUGAGCUCAAGGUAAAGGAGGUCAAGAACGGUCGCCUCGCCAUGUUCUCAAUGUUCGGCUUCUUUGUCCAAGCUAUCGUCACGGGCAAAGGCCCACUUGAGAACCUCGCUGACCACAUCGCUGACCCCAUCAACAACAAUGCCUGGGCGUUUGCCACCAACUUUGUCCCCGGCAAGUAAGAUGUGCCUUGAAGAUUGUGCAUGCCAUGAAACAUGUUGUUGUGCAAUCUGAGUUGUACUACCAUGAUGUAAAUUACGAGAGUUUUCUGCAAAAGCAAUGCAAGAUUUGUGGGGCUUGAAUGUUGUAACUUACAUCGGUUUGAUCGUUCUGAUCACAAUCCAUGAAAACAGAUACAUAUUUCGGCCCGAGCUUA
Molecule: RNA transcript, 1481 nt
Organism: Hordeum vulgare subsp. vulgare (domesticated barley)
Lineage: Eukaryota; Viridiplantae; Streptophyta; Magnoliopsida; Poales; Poaceae
Gene name: chlorophyll a-b binding protein of LHCII type 1-like
Exons: 2
Source: RefSeq, a predicted model, not a curated record